GUAGGGAAUAUUGGUCAAUGGACGAAAGUCUGAACCAGCCAUUCCGCGUGCAGGAAGAAGAUUCUAUGGAUUGUAAACUGCUUUUAGCAGAGAAGAAACGACUUCCUUUAUGAGGGUUUGACGGUAUAUGCGGAAUAAACACCGGCUAACUCCGUGCCAGCAGCCGCGGUAAUACGGGGGGUGCAAGCGUUAUCCGGAAUCACUGGGUUUAAAGGGUGCGUAGGCGGGAAAUUAAGUCAGUGGUGAAAGUCUGUUGCUUAACGAUAGAAUUGCCAUUGAUACUGAUUUUCUUGAAUUGGGUUGAGGUUAGCGGAAUGUGACAUGUAGCGGUGAAAUGCAUAGAUAUGUCAUGGAACACCAAUUGCGAAGGCAGCUAGCUGGGCCUUGAUUGACGCUGAGGCACGAAAGCGUGGGUAGCGAACAGGAUUAGAAACCCUUGUAGUCC
RNAcentral lists this ribosomal RNA (445 nucleotides) under uncultured bacterium. RNAcentral describes it as "partial 16S ribosomal RNA". It matches the Rfam family "Bacterial small subunit ribosomal RNA", at positions 354 to 796 of the family's 1533-position model. The record is from RNAcentral.